AUGGUAGGAUAGAGGCCUACCAUGGUGGUAACGGGUAACGGGGUGUUAGGGCACGACACCGGAGAGGGAGCCUGAGAAACGGCUACCACAUCCAAGGAAGGCAGCAGGCGCGCAAAUUACCCAAUCCCGACACGGGGAGGUAGUGACAAUAAAUAACAAUACAGGGUUCUUUGAAUCUUGUAAUUGGAAUGAGUACAAUUUAAAUCUCUUAACGAGGAACAAUUGGAGGGCAAGUCUGGUGCCAGCAGCCGCGGUAAUUCCAGCUCCAAUAGCGUAUAUUAAAGUUGUUGCAGUUAAAAAGCUCGUAGUUGAAUUUCGGGAUCAGUACGUCGGUCGUGCUUUCGGGUACGUACUGGCGUCAUUGGUUUCUCCUUUCUGACGAACCAUGAUGUCAUUAAUUUGGUGUUAUGGGGAGUUAGGACUGUUACUUUGAAAAAAUUAGAGUGUUUAAAGCAGGCAUUAGCUUGAAUACAUUAGCAUGGAAUAAUGAAAUAGGACGUUCGAUCCUAUUUUGUUGGUUUCUAGGAUCAACGUAAUGAUUAAUAGGGAUAGUUGGGGGCAUUAGUAUUCAAUUGUCAGAGGUGAAAUUCUUGGAUUUAUUGAAGACUAACUACUGCGAAAGCAUUUGCCAAGGAUGUUUUCAUUAAUCAAGAACGAAAGUUAGGGGAUCGAAGACGAUCAGAUACCGUCGUAGUCUUAACCAUAAACUAUGCCGACUAGGGAUCGGAUGAUGUUAAUUUUUUAAUGACUCAUUCGGCGCCUUACGGGAAACCAAAGUGUUUGGG
RNAcentral lists this ribosomal RNA (785 nucleotides) under uncultured Glomus. RNAcentral describes it as "SSU rRNA". It matches the Rfam family "Eukaryotic small subunit ribosomal RNA", at positions 325 to 1111 of the family's 1831-position model. The record is from RNAcentral. Lineage: Eukaryota; Fungi; Glomeromycota; Glomeromycetes; Glomerales; Glomeraceae.